This is a long non-coding RNA of Zingiber officinale, 2169 nucleotides long. RefSeq lists it as uncharacterized. Lineage: Eukaryota; Viridiplantae; Streptophyta; Magnoliopsida; Zingiberales; Zingiberaceae. The record is from RefSeq and is a predicted model, not a curated record. The transcript is spliced from 2 exons.
GAAGCCAGAGCGGAAGCCUUCUCGAGGAGAAGGCCAGAAAUUAGGUUUGGGUGAGCCCUAUUUCAGUUGGUUGCAAUCACCCAAGCGAUCAGAGCUUUGGAAGAAGAAAAAGAGUGAAAAGAAGCUGGAGCUAUUUAUACGCUGCAGCAUUGAGAGUGCCUCCCACAUUGAGGGCACCCUCCAUAGCAUUGAGGGCACCCUCAAACCAGUCAAAGUAACUGUUUCGCAUAUGGAUAAAACUUUAUCCAAAUACCAUGCUGGAGGUGCCCUCCAUGCUUAUGGGAGGUGCCCUCAAGCCGAAGAUAGAGUUUCCAGGCCCUAUAAAAAGGUCCAUGGAGCUAGGGAAUUAAUCAUCAACUCUUGUACUAACUUCUUAGCAACUACUUAAGCUUUUAUUGUGUAAAAGACUUCUCCGCCUUCAGAGAAGGAGAUUUUGAUUGAGCUUUUCAAUCGCCUUGGAUUAACAACCACCUAGGCUAUAACCAAGUCAAUCCCUGAGUCUCUUCUUUAAUUCUGUUCUUUUAUUUUUAUUUAUUGUUGUUGCACCUUAAGAGUUGAAAGAACGAGGAGGAUAUUUUUUUUUCAAGCAAUUCACCCUCCCCUCUUACCGGCCCGCUGCACCAACAAUUACUACUCUAACUUCUUUUCCAUGUGAAGAUUGCAAGUAUGUUCAUUAUGCAAAUAUGUUUAUUAUGCAAAUAUGUUCAUAUUUAUUUGAUUACUCAUGUAGAUUCUCAAGUAUAUUUAUUAUACAAGAAUCCAAUAUUUUUUUCAUAGGCGAAAAAAGAGUACAUCGCCUGUCUCAAAUCUUUUGGUUACCAAUCAGAAAAAUGCAGGCACCUAUUGAAAAAAUACUUGCAAUGUCGAAUGGAAAGAUUAGUUUGCAUCUAGUUUUGCUUUUUCCCUCUUAAUGGAACAUUCUUGAGAUAGAAAUGAGUGCAAAAUAAGUCUGUUAAUAUCUUAGUUAUCUUGGAAGAAGUCUAUUGUGUCACUUGUGUUGGGCUAUUGUAUAAUUUGAAUAGUUAAUUCUAUAUUUUUUCCCUCUGCUUGAUGUUAUAAUUGUUCCUCUUUGAAAGUGCCCUUAAUCUUAGUCCUUCAUCUCCUAUUGACUUUAUUCACAGAUUAUUAGUCUUGAUGAAGCUCAUACCUUUUGGGUGCUUGACAGAUGAGUAGAUUAGAAGUCUUUGUUUUCUUAAACACACUAAUGGCUUUAUUUUGUUUCCAAAAACUUGAUGGCGAAACAAGACCUAUCAGAGCUUGGUUUCCACAAUGCUACAAUAGAUUUAUCCGAGAAACCUUUGAUCCCUCCUUUAAGAUAAUAAUUGUUGAUUAAGAAUCACCCACUAGUGGGAAUUACAUGAAGCCCUUGAUCAAAUUGUAUCCGUUAUUGCUUGAAUCAGUUGAUUAAGGUUGAAAGUUGAGCCUGCACUUUCAAUAAGACUAGAAAUUUUAUCCUUUAAUCAAGUAGUAGCUUCUUGAUGGAGUUUAUUUAGCAUAUGAAACUCAUUUAAGAUUUAUGAUUUGUUGUUCAAUUUUUUUUUGACCUCAUACUUGUUAUAAUUUUUGGUUUAUAAUGCAUGGGACCUUAUUUAACAUUGUUUAAAUUUUAAAUUGUGUAUUUAAAUACAUAUAUAACAAGUAGCCUUAUUGAAGAAACUACAGUGCCAAAGAAGGACAUUAUUGUAGUCAUUCAAAGGUUCAAUAUCCAAGUUAGCAAUUUGACUAGCUCAAGUAAGUUUUACAAUAAUUUCUUUAUAUAACUAUACUUAUAUGUUAGAUUUCCCCUUGAAUUGUUGUCAAUCAAUAGAAUAAUGAUGCUGUAUUUUGUCAAUAUAAAUAUUUCUUUUAUUUAUAUGAUUAUUUUUACAAGAUCUGACAACUUUUUUUUAUUUCUAUAAUUGUAGAUUGUGCCUUGUGCAUUGUUAGCACUUGCAAUUUACUUGGAAGUUGUUUCGGUGUUUCCAUACACAAGGUCAACAAUUGAUGCAGAACAUAAAGGUACGUAACUCGGGCAAUUUGUGAGACUUGAGAUUUUUAAUGCAAGUAGUGAGCUUUGUUAGGUUCUAAAUUACCUUGCUAAUGUGUAAAAGUCAUAUGGAGAACAGUAAUAGAAAUCAUGUGAUUUAUGGUUUGAUACUACUAAGUUUGAUGAGUACAACUCAUUUUGUA